RNAcentral lists this long non-coding RNA (542 nucleotides) under Callithrix jacchus (white-tufted-ear marmoset). RNAcentral's name for it is "lncRNA (ENSCJAG00000084358.1)". The record is from RNAcentral. Lineage: Eukaryota; Metazoa; Chordata; Mammalia; Primates; Cebidae.
GUGUUAUUUAUGUGGUAAGGAGACUCUCAGCUCUGUUCUAUUAAAUGAGAUUUCUCAUGCAGUCUGGUAGACAUGCAGACGGAUUGCUCAGUGACACCUGGCAGAACAUCUAUUCCCUCUGAUUGGUGCUUCACACAUUUUAUAUUUGAAAAGGUAAUGAGAAUGUCAUGCAAUGAAGAAAACUAAAGCAGACUACAAAGCAAUGCUUGGGCACUGGUUCCAUCACGGGAGUCAGGCUUUUGGAAGAGGUGUGAUUAGAACAGCAACAUUGUACUGAGGUGGAGGCAGAGAACCUCAAUGUUAAAGGAUGAACCACAGGAUGAAAGGAGUUUGGGUUUUCAAUUUUCCCUAUGAAUUGUUAUGUGAAGAAGAAAAAAGUCCUAUCUUUAAAACACUGAAAUUGUGGAGAACUGCUACUAUAAUGUUGAAUAGAAGAGGUAGGAGAAGAGCUCCUUGUCUUGUUUCUCAUGCAGGAAGAAAAGCAUUAAGUCUUUUACUGUAAGUAUGAUAUAAAAUAGAUGCCUUUAAUCAGUUUAAGAAUA